Molecule: non-coding RNA, 23 nt
Filed under: Mus musculus (house mouse)
Lineage: Eukaryota; Metazoa; Chordata; Mammalia; Rodentia; Muridae
Source: RNAcentral
UAAUUGAGAAAAUGCCUUGCAGU